Molecule: long non-coding RNA, 1707 nt
Filed under: Anas platyrhynchos platyrhynchos (common mallard)
Lineage: Eukaryota; Metazoa; Chordata; Aves; Anseriformes; Anatidae
Description: lncRNA (ENSAPLG00000031113.1)
Source: RNAcentral
CCUGGAGAGUUUUUUCCGGAGUUCAGCUGAUAUAAAUUCCCACUGGAGAGUUUGAGGCUGGCAAUCAGCUUACUCAUUCUCCGCUUAUCAUCACAAACCUCUGACCUUCAAACAUCGCUGGUGCGGUGCCCGGCUGAGCAAACUCAAAUCGAACCAGCUGGUGAUUCACCGCGCUCCCGUGUCGCGACACGCGGCCUCUGCUCGCUCCCUGCAGGUUCCCGACCUCGUCCCACGUCUGGUGCUUGUCCCACACCAGUGGUGCUGGGCCCUGGGUGGUGCUGGAGCACGGUCGGGGUUCCCACAUGGUUAUAGGUGAUAGGGCAGGGAUGCAGCACGGGCAAGGAUGCUGAGCUGGUUGGGGUCCCCCAGGUGUCCCCAGCCUGUGCCUGACAUCUCCGGGGACAUCUCUCCCUCUGCAGGAGAACCAGGGUUGGGUUUUGAUGAGACCGAUGCCUUUUCCAGGCAGCAUUUUCUGCUCCCCCUGGCCCGUCGGAUGCUGGCGACUGACUUUUUGCUCACUUUUUCCUAGAAAGAGCCAUCCUCACGGCCUCUUCCAAAGGCAACCCGUGCGUGCCAAAGCCACCUCCGCUGCCCGGAGCCCUUGGUGCUCGGAGCAGGGAUGCUGAGCCCGCAGGGGGAUGAAACAGGGGGGCUGCAAGGCUGGAGGGGGGGCGCAGCCACUCCUGCAGGAGGGCCGUGGGAGGCAACUGGUGUGCCAGCAGGCGCGGAGGAAUGCGGCAGCAGGGCGGGGGGAGGACAGAAAUUAAUAAUUAUCCAAAGCGCACCCCUAUCACUGUUCAUCGAAAUUUGCCCAUACUUCAUUCCAGCCUCCUUUCUUCUUCUUGCCUCCAGGCUGACGGAGCAUCGGUUUCAGAUUCUGCCUCACACUUGGCUGCCUCCAGCACACGGGAAGGACCAGGGGUGAUGCUCUGCUGGCAGUCCCGGCGUGCAGCGCAGCAAGAGGCCGGCAAGAGCAUGCUGGAAGCUGUAGUCCAGGUGCCCCGGCAUCGCCAGCGCCGCACUGAGCUGCUCACAGCCCUCCUGCUCCUCCUCCUCCUCCUCCUUCCUCACAAACACCGCCUCUGCUUGCUAAUCCCUCCCAGGCUUUGCAGCCUUCGAGUGACAAAAUGCAAAUGGUGGGGGAGCAGAGGAAGAAAUUGCACAGCGAGGAGAGAUAAAGCAAAUAUCCGAACGCCGAGCCGCCUUCAGCGCAGCUCGCUGGCGCCCGAGCGUUCCUCCGGGAGCGCCUCAGCUCGGAAAAUGUUUGUCGUCUCCCAUCAGGAGACGCUCGCUCUAAUUGCUGUCUUCCCGUGCCCGAGCAGCCGGCACCGCUCACCCCCAGCGGGGCCGGGGCUGGCCGAGGGACACCGCUGCUCCUGGGUCCUGCACUGAGGUGCUGGGGUUUUCCUUCUCUGGUGAGCAAAGGAAACCCUGGCAAAGUGAUAAGAGCAUCAUGAUGAAGUGUUAAACUGUGAGUGAUUCCUCGGGUCCUGUCCCAGCGAAGGAUGCACUGAAAAGGAUUCAUCCCCCCGGGGGAAGCAGCAGCUCCAAGGAUCUUCCUCUCACCCACCCCUCUGGGUGUAAGGACUUGUUAUAAAUAAUACUCGAGCCUAAAGGAGGUGAAUGAGGACUUUUAUGGAUUUAACACGAAACUCUAACAUCUUUUUCCACUAAAGCUUCUGUCAAUAAAUCAUUUUUUAAUUAUCA